GGAGGGCGCAAGCGUUGUUCGGAAUUACUGGGCGUAAAGAGCGUGUAGGCGGUUCGGAAAGUCGGGUGUGAAAUCCCCGGGCUCAACCCGGGAACUGCAUCCGAAACUUCCGUACUAGAGUCCCGGAGAGGAAGGCAGGAUUCCCAGUGUAGGGGUGAAAUCCGUAGAUACUGGGAGGAAUACCGGAGGCGAAGGCGGCCUUCUGGACGGUGACUGACGCUGAGACGCGAAAGCGUGGGGAGCAAACAGGAUUAGAUACCCUGGUAGUCCACGCUGUAAACGGUGCGCACUGGGCGUCGGGGGAUUUACCCCUCCGGUGCCCGUAGCUAACGCGAUAAGUGCGCCCGCCUGGGGAGUACGGCCGCAAGGCUA
RNAcentral lists this ribosomal RNA (372 nucleotides) under uncultured organism. RNAcentral describes it as "partial 16S ribosomal RNA". It matches the Rfam family "Bacterial small subunit ribosomal RNA", at positions 527 to 896 of the family's 1533-position model. The record is from RNAcentral.